This 401-nucleotide ribosomal RNA is filed under the name uncultured bacterium. Its description in RNAcentral is "bacterial SSU rRNA". It matches the Rfam family "Bacterial small subunit ribosomal RNA", at positions 355 to 773 of the family's 1533-position model. The record is from RNAcentral.
UGGGGAAUAUUGGACAAUGGGCGAAAGCCUGAUCCAGCAAUGCCGCGUGAGUGAUGAAGGCCUUAGGGUCGUAAAGCUCUUUUACCAGGGAUGAUAAUGACAGUACCUGGAGAAUAAGCUCCGGCUAACUCCGUGCCAGCAGCCGCGGUAAUACGGAGGGAGCUAGCGUUGUUCGGAAUUACUGGGCGUAAAGCGUACGUAGGCGGUUAUUCAAGUCAGAGGUGAAAGCCCGGGGCUCAACCCCGGAACUGCCUUUGAAACUAGAUAACUAGAGUCUUGGAGAGGUUAGUGGAAUUCCGAGUGUAGAGGUGAAAUUCGUAGAUAUUCGGAAGAACACCAGUGGCGAAGGCGACUAACUGGACAAGUACUGACGCUGAGGUACGAAAGCGUGGGGAGCAAAC